This 801-nucleotide ribosomal RNA is filed under the name uncultured bacterium. Its description in RNAcentral is "bacterial SSU rRNA". It matches the Rfam family "Bacterial small subunit ribosomal RNA", at positions 78 to 890 of the family's 1533-position model. The record is from RNAcentral.
GCUUGCUCCUCUGAUCAGUGGCGAACGGGUGAGUAACACGUGAGCAACCUGCCCCAGACUCUGGGAUAACAGUUGGAAACAGCUGCUAAUACCGGAUACGAGACGGAGAGGCAUCUCUACCGUCUGGAAAGUUUUUCGGUCUGGGAUGGACUCGCGGCCUAUCAGCUAGUUGGUGAGGUAAUGGCUCACCAAGGCGACGACGGGUAGCCGGCCUGAGAGGGCGACCGGCCACACUGGGACUGAGACACGGCCCAGACUCCUACGGGAGGCAGCAGUGGGGAAUAUUGCACAAUGGGCGAAAGCCUGAUGCAGCGACGCCGCGUGAGGGAUGACGGCCUUCGGGUUGUAAACCUCUUUCAGCAGGGAAGAAGCGAAAGCGACGGUACCUGCAGAAGAAGCACCGGCUAACUACGUGCCAGCAGCCGCGGUAAUACGUAGGGUGCGAGCGUUGUCCGGAAUUAUUGGGCGUAAAGAGCUUGUAGGCGGUUUGUCGCGUCUGCAGUGAAAAUCCGAGGCUCAACCUCGGACUUGCUGUGGGUACGGGCAGACUAGAGUAUGGUAGGGGAGACCGGAAUUCCUGGUGUAGCGGUGGAAUGCGCAGAUAUCAGGAGGAACACCGAUGGCGAAGGCAGGUCUCUGGGCCGUAACUGACGCUGAGAAGCGAAAGCAUGGGGGAGCGAACAGGAUUAGAUACCCUGGUAGUCCAUGCCGUAAACGUUGGGCGCUAGGUGUGGGGCUCAUUCCACGAGCUCCGUGCCGCAGCUAACGCAUUAAGCGCCCCGCCUGGGGAGUACGGCCGCA